Molecule: ribosomal RNA, 253 nt
Filed under: uncultured bacterium
Lineage: Bacteria
Description: partial 16S ribosomal RNA
Rfam family: Bacterial small subunit ribosomal RNA
Source: RNAcentral
GACGGAGGUGGCAAGCGUUGUUCGGAAUUACUGGGCGUAAAGGGCGCGUAGGCGGCCCGUCAAGUCCCGUGUGAAAGCCCCCGGCUCAACCGGGGAACGGCGCGGGAAACUAGCAGGCUUGAGUUCGGGAGAGGGAAGCGGAAUUCCUGGUGUAGCGGUGGAAUGCGCAGAUAUCAGGAGGAACACCAAUAGCGAAGGCAGCUCGCUGGGACGGUACUGACGCUAAGGCGCGAAAGCGUGGGGAGCGAACAGG